GGGGAAUAUUGCGCAAUGGGGGAAACCCUGACGCAGCAAUACCGCGUGAGUGAAGAAGGUUUUCGGAUCGUAAAGCUCUGUUAUUGGGGAAGAAAAAAAGACGGUACCCAAGAAGAAAGUCCCGGCUAACUACGUGCCAGCAGCCGCGGUAAUACGUAGGGGACAAGCGUUGUCCGGAUUUACUGGGCGUAAAGGGCACGCAGGCGGUUUUUUAAGUCAGAUGUGAAAGGUACCGGCUCAACCGGUGACAUGCAUUUGAAACUGAAAGACUUGAGUAUGGGAGAGGAAAGUGAAUUCCCGAGGGGAGGGGUAAAAGGCGUAGAAUUAAGGAGAAACACGGGGGGCGAGGGGGGUUUGCGGAAAAAAUACUGACGCUGGGGUGCAAAAGGGUGGGGUGAAAAAG
Molecule: ribosomal RNA, 403 nt
Filed under: uncultured Acetobacterium sp.
Lineage: Bacteria; Bacillati; Bacillota; Clostridia; Eubacteriales; Eubacteriaceae
Description: partial 16S ribosomal RNA
Rfam family: Bacterial small subunit ribosomal RNA
Source: RNAcentral